Molecule: long non-coding RNA, 548 nt
Filed under: Selaginella moellendorffii
Lineage: Eukaryota; Viridiplantae; Streptophyta; Lycopodiopsida; Selaginellales; Selaginellaceae
Description: long non-coding RNA (SMOE_LNC001700)
Source: RNAcentral
CAAGCUGCCAUGAGGUUAGGCAUUUUAUGGUGGGGGAGCCAACAGCAAUCAUUGCCCUAGGGUUAGAUCAUGUUGGGGAUUUGGUGGAGGAAGGAGGAGUAGCUGAUUUUGGGGAAGGAGGAGCUGUAGGCUUUGACGAGGAGAUGGUGUGGGUUUGGGGCAGUGGCAUCUAGUGAAGAGCAACUGUGGUGGAGGAGCAUUUGGGGCUGGAAGACGAGCACUAGGUCCAGCUGUCGCUCGAGGAGGUAGGCUGCCUUGGGGCUAAGGCCGUGGAGAUGCCGAUUUCUUGAAUCUUGGACAUAUUCAAAUGCUCUUUUGAAGACAUUUUAAAGUAAGUCAGGUGUGAAGUCACUAGUGUUUUACGUUAAAUUUUUACCACAAAAACUUUUGCAGGUGGGACUUAAAUCUUAAAACAACCUAAAAAUUACUAAUGCAACAAUCACAAAAAUCAAAAUACACAUUUUAAAAUAUUUUUAUAUAAAGCGCAAGUGUGAAUGGAGCCAUUCGCACUUGCGAAUGGCUCCAAAUCAUAAAUCAUCCAAAUGGCU